This 732-nucleotide ribosomal RNA is filed under the name Arthrobacter sp. RNAcentral's name for it is "bacterial SSU rRNA". It matches the Rfam family "Bacterial small subunit ribosomal RNA", at positions 46 to 790 of the family's 1533-position model. The record is from RNAcentral. Lineage: Bacteria; Bacillati; Actinomycetota; Actinomycetes; Micrococcales; Micrococcaceae.
GUCAUAACAUGCAGUCGACGAUGAGCCCUGCUUGCAGGGUGGAUUAGUGGCGAACGGGUGAGUAACACGUGAGUAACCUGCCCCCGACUCUGGGAUAAGCCCGGGAAACUGGGUCUAAUACCGGAUAUGACUUCCUACUGCAUGGUGGGUUGUUGAAAGAUUUAUCGGUGGGGGAUGGACUCGCGGCCUAUCAGCUUGUUGGUGAGGUAAUGGCUCACCAAGGCGACGACGGGUAGCCGGCCUGAGAGGGUGACCGGCCACACUGGGACUGAGACACGGCCCAGACUCCUACGGGAGGCAGCAGUGGGGAAUAUUGCACAAUGGGCGGAAGCCUGAUGCAGCGACGCCGCGUGAGGGAUGACGGCCUUCGGGUUGUAAACCUCUUUCAGUAGGGAAGAAGCGAAAGUGACGGUACCUGCAGAAGAAGCGCCGGCUAACUACGUGCCAGCAGCCGCGGUAAUACGUAGGGCGCAAGCGUUAUCCGGAUUUAUUGGGCGUAAAGAGCUCGUAGGCGGUUUGUCGCGUCUGCCGUGAAAGUCCGAGGCUCAACCUCGGAUCUGCGGUGGGUACGGGCAGACUAGAGUGAUGUAGGGGAGACUGGAAUUCCUGGUGUAGCGGUGAAAUGCGCAGAUAUCAGGAGGGAAACACCGAUGGCGAAGGCAGGUCUCUGGGCAUUUACUGACGCUGAGGAGCGAAAGCAUGGGGGGAGCGAACAGGAUUAGAAUACCCUGG